This 273-nucleotide ribosomal RNA is filed under the name Triticum aestivum (bread wheat). Its description in RNAcentral is "partial small subunit ribosomal RNA". The record is from RNAcentral. Lineage: Eukaryota; Viridiplantae; Streptophyta; Magnoliopsida; Poales; Poaceae.
AUGUACGCCGGUUCCAGCCCCACCUCAGAGAUAAGGAACUCGGACGUACGCAGCAUCGGACCACCUGAACGUCUUCUUCAAGUACGCCACUUCGGCGGCGAUCUUCUCCUCGCUGCGGAACGCGACAGCCUGCAUCGCUUUUCUGAACAUCCCGGAGCCGCGGCGCACACCCAGGCUUUCGGUACAUGCCGCCAUCGCCCGGACCUUCUCUGGUUUGGUGCUAAGCAGCCUCGGAAGAGAGGUGCACAGCUUGGCAAUAUCACAAGCACCUAG